GGGUUGUGAGGUUAAGCGACUAAGCGUACACGGUGGAUGCCCUGGCAGUCAGAGGCGAUGAAGGGCGUACUAAUCUGCGAUAAGCGCCGGUAAGGUGAUAUGAACCGUUAUAACCGGCGAUACCCGAAUGGGGAAACCCAGUGUGAUUCGUCACACUAUCAUUAACUGAAUCCAUAGGUUAAUGAGGCGAACCGGGGGAACUGAAACAUCUAAGUACCCCGAGGAAAAGAAAUCAACCGAGAUUCCCCCAGUAGCGGCGAGCGAACGGGGAGGAGCCCAGAGCCUGAAUCAGCAUGUGUGUUAGUGGAAGCGUCUGGAAAGGCGCGCGAUACAGGGUGACAGCCCCGUACACAAAAGCGCAUGUGCUGUGAGCUCGAUGAGUAGGGCGGGACACGUGGUAUCCUGUCUGAAUAUGGGGGGACCAUCCUCCAAGGCUAAAUACUCCUGACUGACCGAUAGUGAACCAGUACCGUGAGGGAAAGGCGAAAAGAACCCCGGCGAGGGGAGUGAAAAAGAACCUGAAACCGUGUACGUACAAGCAGUGGGAGCACCCUUUGGGUGUGACUGCGUACCUUUUGUAUAAUGGGUCAGCGACUUAUAUUCUGUAGCAAGGUUAACCGAAUAGGGGAGCCGGAGGGAAACC
Molecule: ribosomal RNA, 643 nt
Filed under: Salmonella enterica subsp. enterica serovar Enteritidis
Lineage: Bacteria; Pseudomonadati; Pseudomonadota; Gammaproteobacteria; Enterobacterales; Enterobacteriaceae
Description: partial 23S ribosomal RNA
Rfam family: Bacterial large subunit ribosomal RNA
Source: RNAcentral